This 505-nucleotide ribosomal RNA is filed under the name uncultured bacterium. RNAcentral's name for it is "partial 16S ribosomal RNA". It matches the Rfam family "Bacterial small subunit ribosomal RNA", at positions 899 to 1397 of the family's 1533-position model. The record is from RNAcentral.
ACUCAAAUGAAUUGACGGGGGCCCGCACAAGCGGUGGAGCAUGUGGUUCAAUUCGACGCAACGCGAAGAACCUUACCAGCUCUUGACAUGUCUCGUAUGGCUCUGGGCGACUGGAGCCUUCGGUUCGGCCGGCGAGAACACAGGUGCUGCAUGGCUGUCGUCAGCUCGUGUCGUGAGAUGUUGGGUUAAGUCCCGCAACGAGCGCAACCCUCAUCUUCAGUUGCCAUCGGGUUAUGCCGGGCACUCUGAAGAAACUGCCGGUGACAAGCCGGAGGAAGGCGGGGAUGACGUCAAGUCCUCAUGGCCUUUAUGGGCUGGGCCACACACGUGCUACAAUGGCGGUGACAGUGGGCUGAAGCGAAGGGGCGACCUGGAGCUAAUCCCCAAAAGCCGUCUCAGUUCGGAUUGCACUCUGCAACUCGAGUGCAUGAAGCCGGAAUCGCUAGUAAUCGCGGAUCAGCACGCCGCGGUGAAUACGUUCCCGGGCCUUGUACACACCGCCCGU